This 1767-nucleotide ribosomal RNA is filed under the name Triticum aestivum (bread wheat). RNAcentral describes it as "partial small subunit ribosomal RNA". The record is from RNAcentral. Lineage: Eukaryota; Viridiplantae; Streptophyta; Magnoliopsida; Poales; Poaceae.
AUGGCGGCGAUGCCGAUGCCCCGGUCUCUCCUGCUGAUCCUCCUCCUGGCCACCCCCUUACUCAUCCUCCCCCUCGCCGCCGCCGCAGUCCCCACCUCCAACCCGGACAUCGACCUCGAGUACCUCAUCAAGAACGCCGGCCUCGACGACCCCACCCCUGCCACCACCGCCACCGACCCCGAGGACGACGGCGCUCCGGACUUCCCCGGCCUCGACGCCGACUACGACGACGAGGACCUCUUCGGCGACGACGACGGGCCGGAGGAGGACUCCUCCCACCCCUCGGCGGCCGACGAGGCCCACGUGCUCCUCCUCACCGCCGCCAACUUCACCUCCGUCCUCGCGGCCCGGCGCCACGUCAUGGUCGAGUUCUACGCGCCCUGGUGCGGCCACUGCCGCGCGCUCGCGCCCCACUACGCCGCCGCCGCCUCCGCCCUCGCCGAGCAGGGCGUCGACGUGGCGCUGGCCAAGGUGGACGCCACCGAGGACCACGACCUGGCGCAGGCGCACGGCGUGCAGGGCUAUCCCACCCUCCUCUUCUUCAUCGACGGCGUGCCCAGGGACUACGCCGGCGAGAGGACCAAGGACGCCAUCGUAGCUUGGAUCAGCAAGAAGCUGGGCCCUGCGGUGCAGAACCUCACCACCGCCGACGAGGCCGAGAAGAUCGUCACCGGCGACGACGUGGCCGUGCUCGCCUACCUCGACCACCUCUCGGGUGCUCACAGUGAUGAGCUUGCUGCUGCUUCAAGGCUGGAAGAUACCAUCAGCUUCUACCAGACCACCAGCCCUGAUGUAGCCAAGCUUUUCCACAUUGACCCGGAGGCAAAGCGCCCUUCAGUAGUCCUGCUGAAGAAAGAGGAGGAGAAGUUGACCGUUUUUGAUGGCGAGUUCAGAGCGUCUGCGAUUGCCGAGUUUGUGUCGGCAAACAAAAUCCCAUUGAUCACCACCCUCACACAGGAGACCGCCCCUGCGAUUUUCGAUAACCCGAUCAAGAAGCAAAUUUUGCUAUUUGCUGUUGCGAAGGAGUCCCCACAAUUUCUGCCCAUCAUUAAGGAAACAGCAAAGUCAUUCAAGGGAAAGCUUUUAUUUGUCUUUGUGGAGCGUGACAAUGAGGAAGUUGGCGAACCUGUUGCCAAUUACUUUGGAAUUGCUGGACAAGAGACCACGGUUCUUGCUUACACUGGGAAUGAAGACGCUAAGAAGUUCUUCUUCAGUGGUGAAAUAUCACUGGACACCAUUAAGGAAUUUGCUCAAGAUUUCCUGGAGGACAAGCUCACACCAUCCUACAAGUCUGACCCAGUACCUGAAUCUAAUGAUGAGGACGUCAAAGUUGUUGUUGGCAAGAGUCUAGAUCAAAUAGUUUUGGAUGAGUCAAAGGAUGUCCUUUUGGAGGUAUAUGCGCCAUGGUGUGGGCAUUGUCAGUCGCUGGAGCCUAUCUACAACAAGCUGGCCAAGUAUCUCCGUGGCAUCGACUCCCUUGUAAUAGCCAAAAUGGACGGCACAAACAAUGAGCAUCCUCGUGCCAAGCCCGAUGGAUUCCCCACGAUACUCUUCUAUCCAGCUGGGAAGAAAAGCUUUGAGCCUAUAACUUUCGAGGGGGACCGGACGGUGGUGGAGAUGUACAAGUUCCUCAAGAAGCAUGCCGCCAUCCCUUUCAAGCUGAAGCGCCCGGACUCGUCAGCGGCACGGACCGACGGCGCCGAUGGCUCGGGUUCGACGACCGAGGGCGAGAAGAGCUCCGGUUCAAACCCCAAGGACGAGUUGUAG